Molecule: ribosomal RNA, 468 nt
Filed under: uncultured bacterium
Lineage: Bacteria
Description: partial 16S ribosomal RNA
Rfam family: Bacterial small subunit ribosomal RNA
Source: RNAcentral
GACGAACGCUGGCGGCGUGCUUAACACAUGCAAGUCGAACGGAAAGGCCCUGCUUUUGUGGGGUGCUCGAGUCGCGAGCGGGUGUGUAACACGUGAGUAACCUGCCCUGGACUUUGGGAUAACUCCAGGAAACUGGGGCUAACACCGGAUAGGAGCUCCUGCUGCCUGGUGGGGGUUGGAAAGUUUCGGCGGUUGGGGUUCGACUCUCGGCUUAUCAGCUUGUUGGUGGGGUAGUGGCUUACCAAGGCUUUGACGGGUAGCCGGCCUGAGAGGGUGACCGGCCACAUUGGGCCUGCGAUACGGCCCAGACUCCUACGGGAGGCAGCAGUGGGGAAUAUUGCACAAUGGGCGGAAGCCUGAUGCAGCAACGCCGCGUGCGGGAUGACGGCCUUCGGGUUGUAAACCGCUUUCGGCUGUGACGAAGCGUGAGUGACGGUAAUGGGUGAAGAAGCACCGGCUAACUACGUG